GCACCAAUUGAACCUACACAACUCAAGUUACAGCUACCCAAACCUGUUGGACUCACAUCCAACCCUGCAGGUCACCAAAGGCAGCAAAUCUAACCUCAAUUCCAAUGGCACAAAUCACUUCAAUUCCUCAUCAAAUAUAGCCAAGUGGUCACUAAUUGACCAUUACAACAUUAAUUUAUGUUCAAUUGUAGCAACCCCUAAAUUUGAGUUUCAAAACCCUAACCCUAAAUGUCCAAAGUGCUAAUUCUUGCACUAAACUUGCAAUUUAAUGGUUUAAGUGUUAUAUUAACGUCAAGGGCAGCCUAUACACUCAUUUAUAUCAAGAAAAUAAUCACAACCAUAAGAGGACCAUGGUUGCUGAAAUUUGGGUGUAGCAUACAAGGGUUUUCUUUACAAAUUUCUUACAAUUAUCAACACAAUUCAACCCCAUAAUUAAAAGAAAAAAAGAAGUGGUUGGACACUAACCUCUUUGAGUAGAAAUUUUUCCAAGCUUAAACUUCAUUUUUUCUUCUUCUAAUUGCUGCCUAAGUCUUGCUCUAGUGGUAAGGGUCAUUUUUAGUGAAGGGAGAGUAAGAUUUUAUGGUGAAAUCAAGUGGGAAUUGAAGUUUAGGUGAGGCUUCAAUGGUGGAAAGGGCAAAGGGAGAGAGAAUCGGCUGGCUUAGGAGGAAGAAUGAGUAGUUUUUUUUCUUUCCAAUUUGUUGUCCAUUUACUCUUUUAAUUGGGUUUAGAGAUAGGUAUCACAAGGUGAUUGGGUGGAAGUGGUUUAGUGACAUCAUAGUGAUGUCAAAAUUCAAAUUUUCA
RNAcentral lists this unclassified non-coding RNA (801 nucleotides) under Hevea brasiliensis (rubber tree). The record is from RNAcentral. Lineage: Eukaryota; Viridiplantae; Streptophyta; Magnoliopsida; Malpighiales; Euphorbiaceae.